RNAcentral lists this ribosomal RNA (459 nucleotides) under uncultured Rhodocyclaceae bacterium. RNAcentral's name for it is "bacterial SSU rRNA". It matches the Rfam family "Bacterial small subunit ribosomal RNA", at positions 926 to 1382 of the family's 1533-position model. The record is from RNAcentral. Lineage: Bacteria; Pseudomonadati; Pseudomonadota; Betaproteobacteria; Rhodocyclales; Rhodocyclaceae.
UUGGAAGUUGAAGUGUUGGAUUUAAUUCGAUGCAACGCGAAAACCUUACCUACCUUGACAGUGUCCGGAAUCCGAGAGAUUUGGGAGUGCUCGCAAGAGAGCCGGAACACAGGUGCUGCAUGGCUGUCGUCAGCUCGUGUCGUGAGAUUGUUGGGUUAAAGUCCCCGCAACGAGCGCAACCCUUGUCAUUAGUUGCCAUCAUUUGGUUGGGCACUCUAAUGAGACUGCCGGUGACAAACCGGAGGAAGGUGGGGAUGACGUCAAGUCCUCAUGGCCCUUAUGGGUAGGGCUUCACACGUCAUACAAUGGUCGGUACAGAGGGUUGCCAACCCGCGAGGGGGAGCUAAUCCCACAAAGCCGAUCGUAGUCCGGAUCGCAGUCUGCAACUCGACUGCGUGAAGUCGGAAUCGCUAGUAAUCGUGGAUCAGCAUGUCACGGUGAAUACGUUCCCGGGUCGUU